RNAcentral lists this ribosomal RNA (253 nucleotides) under uncultured bacterium. Its description in RNAcentral is "partial 16S ribosomal RNA". It matches the Rfam family "Bacterial small subunit ribosomal RNA", at positions 524 to 776 of the family's 1533-position model. The record is from RNAcentral.
UACGUAGGUGGCAAGCGUUGUCCGGAAUUACUGGGUGUAAAGGGUGCGCAGGCGGGGCAAUAAGUUGGAUGUGAAAUACUCGGGCUCAACUCGGGUGCUGCAUUCAAAACUAUUGCUCUUGAGUGAAGUAGAGGUAGGCGGAAUUCCCGGUGUAGCGGUGAAAUGCGUAGAGAUCGGGAGGAACACCAGUGGCGAAGGCGGCCUGCUGGGCUUUUACUGACGCUGAGGCACGAAAGCAUGGGUAGCAAACAGG